This 470-nucleotide long non-coding RNA is filed under the name Nicotiana benthamiana. RNAcentral's name for it is "long non-coding RNA (NBEN_LNC016566)". Lineage: Eukaryota; Viridiplantae; Streptophyta; Magnoliopsida; Solanales; Solanaceae. The record is from RNAcentral.
GAUAAUGCAGCCACCUCUAACCCUUGACAGUGUCUAUAAUAUGGUUCUCAAUGAUGAGAAGCAUAGACAAGUCCAGUCCCCUUCUCAGUUUAAUCCAGACUCUAUGUCUUUCAAUGUCCACAAUAAUAGACAUUCAGUUGGAUUCAAUAAGGCCACAAUGCCUAAUCCUUCUCCUCCUUUCAGACAAAGAGUCAAUUUUGACCAAGCUAGAGGGCCUUUAGUAUGUAGAUACUGAAAAAAAUCUGGGCACUUAAUUGAUAAGUGUUUCAAUAUUCAUGGGUAUCCACAAAGUACAACAUUUAACAAGGGGAGGAGAAUUGCUGCUGCUCAUCUUACUGCUGGUGUGGAUAUCCUUCCUUCUGAAGGACAUGUGUCUAUUCCCCAAGGGAAUCCUCCUGAAAGCCAUCAAUCUGUUACAAACAUAGCUGGCCAGAGUUCUGUGAUACCAGGGUUGAGCAGACAACAGUAUG